AGAUAAUCCCAGGCAACUGGGGAAAGGUUGAAUCCGGCUGGUGGGUCCAACCCCUCUAAGUCCGUUCCGCAAGGAGCGGAGACCGGAGGCACAAUUCACCGGUUCCUCUGGCGGCGUUCGCGCGCCGUCAGUAACGCGAAAAGGAACUGAGCGGCCAGGAACGCGAAAUGGUUCCGCGCCGAGUCAAGUAUUCCAGGCAGGUUUCGGGCCUGGAGGAAUCGCAGUUACCCGGAGGGUAACGGUUGCUACUGUGGAUCAGCACGGAAAGAGCGGCCCGCCCGGCCUCCAACCAGGCCGAAAGACGCCGAAAGGCGGGACAAAGCGGGUGCUCCCACCGGGAAGAACAGCAGGCCCAGGCAUGGUCUGCGACGGCUUCCAAAACGCCGGCGACGCUACAAACGGCGGCGCGGGCUUGUGAGCGAAAAGCAACCCCAGAGUUAAGAGGUCAGACCCGUGGCACCGGGCCAACGCACCGCCAAAAGCGGUGGCCGACCCGGAGCAAAACGGUGGAGAUGCGGAACCGUGGUCACAAACGUGUCUUCACCCGGUUCGCAAGCCGGCGUCCGCAAACGCCAGCCCAAGCGAGCCAAGAGGCCUCACUCGAUGAUUCAGCGCCGCAAGUCGCUGAACGGCCCUGCUAUGAGGCCGGCAACUCCGCUGGCCGCGGAGAAUGGCGUCGGGAAGCUGGCAGCCCCGCCAGGGCGCGCCUAAUGUCAGCGUGGGAAAGAGAGAGUGGCGAACUCC
This 744-nucleotide non-coding RNA is filed under the name unclassified sequences. RNAcentral's name for it is "MISL RNA". It matches the Rfam family "MISL RNA". The record is from Rfam by way of RNAcentral.